RNAcentral lists this ribosomal RNA (257 nucleotides) under uncultured Pseudomonas sp. RNAcentral describes it as "partial 16S ribosomal RNA". It matches the Rfam family "Bacterial small subunit ribosomal RNA", at positions 96 to 355 of the family's 1533-position model. The record is from RNAcentral. Lineage: Bacteria; Pseudomonadati; Pseudomonadota; Gammaproteobacteria; Pseudomonadales; Pseudomonadaceae.
CGGCGGACGGGUGAGUAAUGCCUAGGAAUCUGCCUGGUAGUGGGGGACAACGUUUCGAAAGGAACGCUAAUACCGCAUACGUCCUACGGGAGAAAGCAGGGGACCUUCGGGCCUUGCGCGAUUGAAUGAGCCGAUGUCGGAUUAGCUAGUUGGCGGGGUAAAGGCCCACCAAGGCGACGAUCCGUAGCUGGUCUGAGAGGAUGAUCAGCCACACUGGAACUGAGACACGGUCCAGACUCCUACGGGAGGCAGCAGCU